GACGAAGGAUGCAAGCGUUAUCCGGAUUCAUUGGGUUUAAAGGGUGCGUAGGCGGCCGGUAAGUCAGUGGUGAAAGCCUGUUGCUUAACAACAGAACUGCCAUUGAUACUGCUGGGCUUGAGUACAGAUGCUGUGGGCGGAAUAUGACAUGUAGUGGUGAAAUACAUAGAGAUGUCAUAGAACACCGAUUGCGAAGGCAGCUCACAAAACUGUAACUGACGCUGAGGCACGAAAGUGCGGGGAUCAAACAGG
Molecule: ribosomal RNA, 252 nt
Filed under: uncultured bacterium
Lineage: Bacteria
Description: partial 16S ribosomal RNA
Rfam family: Bacterial small subunit ribosomal RNA
Source: RNAcentral